RNAcentral lists this small RNA (1472 nucleotides) under Bos taurus (domestic cattle). The record is from RNAcentral. Lineage: Eukaryota; Metazoa; Chordata; Mammalia; Artiodactyla; Bovidae.
UGAGCGGAAUUCGUGAGACCUUUUUUUUUUUUGCCCCGGUUGAUGUUUUCACUCGGUAAUUGAUCAAGUCAGUGUCCUCUUCUACUUCUAUGGUAUAUCGUGGAAGGUGAAUGGGAAUGGCUCAUGAGUGGGACUGAUAUCCAAAGAGGUUGGCAGGGUUGGAAGUCCUCACUGUGGACAGCGGAGUGACCUGUGCCUGUGUUCUCUACUCCUGUUGCCUUGGACUGGUUCACCGUGCCAGUCGGGUUGGUGUGAUUCCAUUCCCUGGGCUUUCCUUCCAGAAACGACACAGAAAUAGCAAGGGACUUUGAACUUGAAAUUGAUCUCGCACCGCCUUUUCCCUAGGCUAUAGAAGGUCAGUGAGCACAAGAACUCUUUCACAACUUUCUCUGUACAGAAAGGCAAGCCCCAAUUCCUAUCACCUGGGGGAUGAUUUACUGACAAUCAUGAAGAAAUUCUGCAUGGGCAAUGCCAGUUGAAUGAUCAACACAAGGACACAUGGGUAGGGGUAAACGUUAGUGUAUUUCAACCGUGCGGCGCUGUUUAUAGAACACUUAACAAGUCAACCCCAAACCGUUCCUGACAGAGAAAAACAAAAACAUUUCCUGACAUAUGCAUUCCUGCAACAUCUUUGCCCUCUGUGAUCCUAAUCAAUAUUCUCCCUGCAAUGAGUGAUAUUCCUGCACGUCAGGCAUUACUGUAAGUGUGUGGGUAUUCUUGUUUCCACAUGUGGGUCACUGUUAACUAUUCCUGUGAUAAAGCAUUUCUUGAUGUGCACAAAUAUCAUGGAAGUCUUUCAAAAAGUCACAAUUCAAGAUGUUGGAAGCAUUUGAUCCAGGAAGGAAAGAAUAGGUCCAAUUCACAUGCAGUCUAACAAAGAUACGCAAACUUAACCAAAGAAGGAGUAAAUACGAGCAACACCACGCAUGUAGGUUGAAUAGGGACGUGCAAGAACUCAGACAGAUAUGGCAGCAGAGCUGUGCAUAAUGGCACAAGCAUGGGUGCAACAUGAAAGAGGACAGGAGGCAUAGGCAGACCCACAGGAAGAAACAUCAACUCACAUUCAUGGGCAAACACAAUGGAGACACCCAGUCUUCAUUCUAAACAGAGGAAAACAUGAACACAUCCAGGGCACAGGAAGCAAAUGCAGCUCAGGCUGGUUGAGCCAGAAUGCGCGUGAAUUCAUCACUAAACCGGCGAGUCUCACACGCAUCGAUAUUCGGCGGAAGAAAACCUUACACGACACAUCCAAGUGUGCAGUCAACUCUAAGAGCACCUAGCCUUUAGGGCCCAAGUGAAAGCCCUAGAGAGCCUGGGACACAAGUCACGGCAAGUCUCCAGAGGAUGACCAUCCAGUCAACGAAGACUAUCUCUGCACUCCACUCGAGGACAGGUUAGAGCUAAUGCCAACCCUGGUCCUGAAGCACUGGCAGGAAAUAUUAGGCACUGGGGGGUCUCACGAAUUCCGCUCA